ACUAAGCAUUAAAUAACAUAACCUGUCAUAAAUCCAGGAUUUAUUUGGCCCACUUAAUUUGGAAUGACAGUUCUCACUGUUUAGAGUAGAACUGGUCAUUUUGUCAUUCCUCUCUAGGAAGGAUGUAGUAGAUACACCAGGGAAAUAUUCUCCAGAUUUUUCAAACUGCAUACUAAACACACUGUCUUUGCAUUUGUAGAGAAGAUAUUUUAAUUUAAAAGUAGAUUCCUCAACCUUUUUUUGUUUUUUAUAACUCCCCAUUUUUUCUUAAUGAAGGCAUUUUUUUCAGCACCCUUGAUUGUGAAAUUGAAGUGGUGCUGUUCUGUUACUAUGGAUAACGUUCCUUUGUCUAUUUCCACUGGUUUUAUUGAUUUAAGGGAUCAGUUCCUUUCAUUGAUCUACUUAAGAGAUCACAUCCUUGAAAAAGUUCUGUGUUUCAGGAGUGGUGAUGCUGACUUACCUGCACUCUGCAUUCAGGAAAAUGCUGACCAAAGAAAUACAGACUUGCAUUUGGAUUUGACUCUUCCCACUCAGCAGAAUGGGACAAUCCUCCAGGAGGAAGCAGCAGGGGAAGAAAUCUCACUAAAUUAUGACUGAGCUCAAUAAGUUUGCAAGUGGCAUUAAAUGACAAGUCAAUUUCA
This is a long non-coding RNA of Passer domesticus (house sparrow), 641 nucleotides long. RefSeq lists it as uncharacterized. NCBI's taxonomy places the organism in Eukaryota, Metazoa, Chordata, Aves, Passeriformes, Passeridae. The transcript is spliced from 2 exons. The record is from RefSeq and is a predicted model, not a curated record.